GACGAACGCUGGCGGCGUGCUUAACACAUGCAAGUCGAACGGAAAGAGAUGAAAGAGCUUGCUCUUUUAUUAAUUUCAGUGGCAAACGGGUGAGUAACACGUAAACAACCUGCCUUAAGGAUGGGGAUAACAGACGGAAACGACUGCUAAUACCGAAUACGUUCUAAGCAUCGCAUGGUGCAUAGAAGAAAGGGUGGCCUCUACAAGAAAGCUAUCGCCUUAAGAGGGGUUUGCGACUGAUUAGGUAGUUGGUGAGGUAACGGCUCACCAAGCCGACGAUCAGUAGCCGGUCUGAGAGGAUGAACGGCCACACUGGAACUGAGACACGGUCCAGACUCCUACGGGAGGCAGCAGUGGGGAAUCUUCCGCAAUGGACGAAAGUCUGACGGAGCAACGCCGCGUGAACGAAGAAGGUCUUCGGAUUGUAAAGUUCUGUGAUUCGGGACGAAAGGGUUUGUGGUGAAUAAUCAUAGACAUUGACGGUACCGAAAAAGCAAGCCACGGCUAACUACGUGCCAGCAGCCGCGGUAAUACGUAGGUGGCAAGCGUUGUCCGGAAUUAUUGGGCGUAAAGCGCGCGCAGGCGGUUUCUUAAGUCCAUCUUAAAAGCGUGGGGCUCAACCCCAUGAGGGGAUGGAAACUGGGAAGCUGGAGUAUCGGAGAGGAAAGUGGAAUUCCUAGUGUAGCGGUGAAAUGCGUAGAGAUUAGGAAGAACACCGGUGGCGAAGGCGACUUUCUAGACGAAAACUGACGCUGAGGCGCGAAAGCGUGGGGAGCAAACAGG
RNAcentral lists this ribosomal RNA (783 nucleotides) under uncultured Dialister sp. RNAcentral describes it as "bacterial SSU rRNA". It matches the Rfam family "Bacterial small subunit ribosomal RNA", at positions 28 to 776 of the family's 1533-position model. The record is from RNAcentral. Lineage: Bacteria; Bacillati; Bacillota; Negativicutes; Veillonellales; Veillonellaceae.